AGUUCUUUGUGCUUGGCUUGUUUAUAUCUUGUUCCCUGCUUGUUCUUCCUUGGUCCCUUUGAACCUCCUAAAAACCUUCUUAUUCAGAUUCUAGGGGUUUGGCUCUAAACUCCCUACAAGGUAAUUCUCCCACCUACCUGAAUUCCUGAGUCACACCGCCUGCAAGCUAAAGGUAGAGACAAAUGCGUGAGGGGGAGAAUGGUAACAGGAAAUAAAGCUACCGGGAGAAAUAAUAGCUUAAAAAAACACCUGCCAACUCCCACAGACAGUGCAAGAGAAAUAAUUCUCCUUUCCAAGGAUUAGGAAGUUCUCAGACAACACGGCUAGGAAGAGUUGAAGGGAAUUUAAAAGCAAAGCUCCAGCUUUUGCUGCUCUGCUUUGGCUACAGGGAACCCAGAAGCUUGCUAGCAGGAUGGCAAGUCUGUGUCAUCGCCAUCCCCCAGGGCAUUCCGCAGUGGAAAUGUGUCUGCAGCAGAUGGAGUCAGGACCAAAAGAUGGGUCUCUUUUUUCCAUCUAGCAGAAUGGAGGACCUUAAUAGAGUCCUCAAGCCAGUUGUGCGAAAGGGAGAAGCUAGAAGGGGACAGUCCUGAUUGAUUUCUGUGCUCUCCAAGCCGCUUGCCGCAGCGUCACGGUCUCCCAACUUCAAGCUGUGAUGACACUUUGGAGAAAUAUGUUCCGCUACUCCCACACACUGUUAGCGGCUGAGCUGGCACAGUCAAUAUGGCCAGGAGAGAAGUGAAUGAACGUCCAGCAAAAAAGGAUGCUGUCAAGGCAAGGCAAGCGCAAGAGCAUCUGUGCAGCGCUCGAAAGCGGGACUGGUUCCCCCAUUCAGGCAGUCUGGUCCAAAAAUAAUCAAAUUAAUAAAUAUGCGUGGGUCAGGCAGAUGGCCCUUCACUGGGAUAAUAGCAAGCAGUAAAAACACUAACUUUCAAUA
Varanus komodoensis (Komodo dragon) is the source of this 934-nucleotide long non-coding RNA. RefSeq lists it as uncharacterized. The transcript has 4 exons. The record is from RefSeq and is a predicted model, not a curated record. Lineage: Eukaryota; Metazoa; Chordata; Lepidosauria; Squamata; Varanidae.